RNAcentral lists this ribosomal RNA (467 nucleotides) under uncultured bacterium. RNAcentral describes it as "partial 16S ribosomal RNA". It matches the Rfam family "Bacterial small subunit ribosomal RNA", at positions 28 to 507 of the family's 1533-position model. The record is from RNAcentral.
GACGAACGCUGGCGGCGUGCUUAACACAUGCAAGUCGAACGGAAAGGCUCCAGCUUGCUGGAGUACUCGAGUGGCGAACGGGUGAGUAACACGUGGGUAAUCUGCCCUGCACUCUGGGAUAAGCCUGGGAAACUGGGUCUAAUACUGGAUAUGACCUUUCUCCUUAUGGGGUUUGGUGGAAAGUUUUUCGGUGUAGGAUGAGCCCGCGGCCUAUCAGCUUGUUGGUGGGGUGAUGGCCUACCAAGGCGACGACGGGUAGCCGGCCUGAGAGGGUGAUCGGCCACAUUGGGACUGAGAUACGGCCCAGACUCCUACGGGAGGCAGCAGUGGGGAAUAUUGCACAAUGGGCGGAAGCCUGAUGCAGCGACGCCGCGUGAGGGAUGACGGCCUUCGGGUUGUAAGCCUCUUUCAGCAGGGACGAAGCGUAAGUGACGGUACCUGCAGAAGAAGCACCGGCUAACUAUGUG